Gasterosteus aculeatus aculeatus (three-spined stickleback) is the source of this 1717-nucleotide long non-coding RNA. Lineage: Eukaryota; Metazoa; Chordata; Actinopteri; Perciformes; Gasterosteidae. The record is from Ensembl.
UGGGACUAGAAAAGGACUUGUGUAAUACAUGGAUGUCUUGCCAAGGAUUGUAAUGCCCCACGUUCUGUGUGCCCACACAACGGCCUACAAAUGUUGUAUAUGUGUUAUAUAUAUGUACACUGUAUAACUACGCCAACGACUGUUGUACCCUCUGAUAGACUGUGGAAGACUGUUGCCGAGACCACCUUUCCUUUCACUGCAAAUGUGUGCUAUGUGCAAAAAGAAGAGGGGCAAGGCUGAAUUACAUGUUGUAUGUGUGCUAGAGUGGCAUUAAGCUAGGUAGCUGCCAUCCAGAGUGGGGGUAGUGUUGUAAAAUGGUGCGGCCCCUUUAAGAGCAGCACGUACGGAGCAGGGAUGAGUGAGUGAGCGAGUGGGAGAGAAGGAGCGGAGUUUUUGUUAAUGUUGUGUGUGGACGUAGCGACCGGAGAAACCCAUGUGCUGUAACCGUGUUACUCAGUGUUCAAUAAAUCUUCAAAGAAAGCAUACAGCGGGCGUUUUAUUCACUAACCAGCAGGAGGAAGGAAAGUGAAGGGUAUUAACCCCAAGUAUUAGCAACAGGCAAUACUUGGCCCUGGAGCAGAGAACGAAGUCUCCAACUACGGUCAGAGACGGACAGGCAGGAAAGGUUAACAACGUGAUCAGCAGCGAACGAACCGAGCACCGAUACGUUUGCGUCGCCUUGCACUGGUUCAUACUUCGACACAAGCUUCGAAGCAGGAGGGUCGGAGGUAACAACAAUAUCUGUCUGACUACCCGUGUACCGAACCCCUGCCUGAAGUAAGGCAAGUAAGUGAACUAUUUUUGUCUCUGACUACUCCGCCUCGAGUCUGCUUUUGAGUCUAGACCCUUGUGGCCCCAACCGGCUUAACAGUAAGGAGUAGAAGUAAAACGUCGUCUGAAAAAUAAAUACUCCAGUAAAGUAUAGAUACCCAAAAUGUCUACUUGUUACGUUCCCCAGUUUUCUGUGUUUGGUGGCUUUGUUUUGUGCCCUGACAGGUGAUUGAUUCCAGGAGCAGCAGUCCCCAGACUGGGGCGUCAGUGGCUGCACCUGGAUUCCUUCCCUCGCAACACAUAAAGGAAAAGGGGAAGCACCUUGGGAGUGCGUAGGCAAGCUGCCCAUGGGUCUACACCACCCGUAGUCAUCCUCCUGUCUAGAAACACUAGGCAAGACCUGGGCGGACCACCCCCUGUAUUUGGUUAGUGAGCCUUGCUAGUGCUCAAGCUAGGUUAGGGGGGGGUGUUUCAGGUCAGAUAGGCAAGAGGGACUGUUUUGUUCAUUGUUUUGGUUCCGCCCAGCCCCUUUUCCCAAGCAACCCGUAUAUAUAUAUAUAUUAAUAAACAUUCCUUUUUACGGGCUAUAUGUGUUCUGGUCGUCCGUGUACCUACACGCACCACACCUCUUUCCCCCAUUACCACAUUGAGAUGACGAGCGGCGGGUCGUUGCGUUCCCUCCUCCACGAGGCGUGCGUAACACUACUUCAGUACAGUAACAAAGGAUUUGUUUAUAGAACACAACAGGGGCGCGGUGAAGGUCCAAUGUACACAGCGGCAUCGCCCUGCUCCGUGUGUGAGCGACAGCGUGCACCCCCUCGCCGAGCUUCCAGCCGGAGCAGGCGAGGCCUGUGUGCUUGCCGAGGAGGAGGCCGCUGCUGCCGCCACUGCUGCUGGGGCUUGUGCAUCUCUGUACCUGCGUCAGAGAUGCACGCCUAAACUUAAC